RNAcentral lists this ribosomal RNA (433 nucleotides) under uncultured bacterium. RNAcentral describes it as "partial 16S ribosomal RNA". It matches the Rfam family "Bacterial small subunit ribosomal RNA", at positions 29 to 507 of the family's 1533-position model. The record is from RNAcentral.
AACGAACGCUGGCGGCAUGCCUAACACAUGCAAGUCGAACGAGACCUUCGGGUCUAGUGGCGCACGGGUGCGUAACGCGUGGGAACCUGCCCUUAGGUUCGGAAUAACUCCCCGAAAGGGGUGCUAAUACCGGAUAAUGUCUUCGGACCAAAGAUUUAUCGCCUUUGGAUGGGCCCGCGUUGGAUUAGCUAGUUGGUAGGGUAAAAGCCUACCAAGGCGACGAUCCAUAGCUGGUCUGAGAGGAUGAUCAGCCACACUGGGACUGAGACACGGCCCAGACUCCUACGGGAGGCAGCAGUGGGGAAUAUUGGACAAUGGGCGAAAGCCCGAUCCAGCAAUGCCGCGUGAGUGAUGAAGGCCUUAGGGUUGUAAAGCUCUCUUACCCGGGAUGAUAAUGACAGCACCGGGAGAAUAAGCUCCGGCUAACUCCGUG